UACGAAGGGGGCUAGCGUUGCUCGGAAUCACUGGGCGUAAAGCGCACGUAGACGGAUUCUUAAGUCAGGGGUGAAAUCCUGGAGCUCAACUCCAGAACUGCCUUUGAUACUGGGAAUCUCGAGUCCGGGAGAGGUGAGUGGAACUGCGAGUGUAGAGGUGAAAUUCGUAGAUAUUCGCAAGAACACCAGUGGCGAAGGCGGCUCACUGGCCCGGUACUGACGCUGAGGUGCGAAAGCGUGGGGAGCAAACAGG
Molecule: ribosomal RNA, 253 nt
Filed under: uncultured bacterium
Lineage: Bacteria
Description: partial 16S ribosomal RNA
Rfam family: Bacterial small subunit ribosomal RNA
Source: RNAcentral